UUUUUUUUUUUUUUUUUGUCUUUUUGUCCUUUUAGGGCCGCCCCGGCGGCCUAUGGAGGCUCCCGGGCUAGGGGUCUAAUCAGAGCUGUAGCUGCCAGCCUAUGCCAAGAGCCACAGCAACUCGGGAUCCGAGCUGCGUCUGCAACCUACACCACAGGAAACGGCAACACCAGAUCCUUAGCCCACUGAGCAAGGCCAGGGAUCAAACCCGCAACCGCAUGGUCCUUAGUCGGUUUCAUUAACCACUGAGCCACAACAGGAACUCCUGCAGUGGCUUUUUUAAUAAAAGUGUACGUAUUCCACCAGCAGCCUCCCUCACUCCCUGGUGUCAUCACUCACACCCCCCAUCACCACCCCCAGGCUCUGAAAGUCUGGGCGGAGUCCUGGGCGGCUCAGGGCUCAGCCAAGGGAAGGGGUCCCUCCGGGAAGAGUGUGACCACCAAUGCUCCCACCAAGCAAGGCUUUCAUUUUGGCCAAGAGAAAGGGAUUGCGAAAGACGUGGGUGAUCAGAAUGUUAACCAUAAAUAAAAGAGCAAACGGGCCACAUUCUGCUGCAGUUACACCCUCCGCCCCAGCCGUCCAGCCACUUGACUCUUUUAUUUAAUUUCUCUUGCUUUUUAGGGCCACACUUGCAGCAUAUGGAAGUUCCCAGGCUAGGAGUCAAUUCGGAGCUGCAGCUGCCAGCCUACACCACAGCCACAGCAAUAUUUCCAUUCCAAAGGGACACGUUUCCUUUCCCACAGGAGGCUGCGGCGUCAGGCUUACUGCCUCAUCACACAUGGAUUUCUGUCUCCCACAUCUCGUCAAGGGAACAGGAGACAAAAUACUUCACCGUGUAACAGUUCAAACAUGGCUUUGAGCCCAAUCCAUAAAAUACAGAAAAUCCAUAGUACCAGGUAUACAGGUAGUACUUUAAAAAUACAUCCCACAUCUGGUGGCUGGGAUCAUUCCAAGAAGCCACUUGUGCAAAGCUAUAAACAACAACGGCUGUAUUUUCAUAGGAGCUAUUGUAUCUUUCAGAGCCCACAUUUCACUAAACUGCUCUGCCACCUAAAGCUGGUGGUCCCACUGGGAUUUCCUAGGGGGAAGGGCAGUGAUUCAAGCAAUUAGAUCCUGGCGCCUCCACCGGUCCCCGUGGUUUCCACAGUGGACGGGGGAGCAGAGGCUACAUCAGCCCCGCAACGUGGGGUGCAACCGAGGUGACUCCUGGCAUUUCAGGCUGCAGUCUGGGGGUCUCUGACCCUCCUGGUUCAUUCUUUGCAAGGGCUACCUGGAGGGUGGUGGUUUAAAAGAGAACCCCAGGAUUUUAGGAGAAUGGGCUCUGGGGGACGUUCGGCAGGAGGGGGCAGAAGGCCAGAAAUUGAGAGCCCCCACUAGAACCGCAACACAUGGCAAGACGGGGGGUGGGAGGGGGCGGCCCUGCAUUCAGAAAGGCACGUGGGUCUGAAGAGCACGGGGGUCCACCAGGCUUGAUCCAAAAGAACACGCCCUGGAGCAAAGGAGGCCCUAGUCUGGGGUUUGAGGGGUCGACUCAUUCAUGGAUUCACCUGUCCACUCAUUCGCAGAAUGUGCCAGGGCUGGGGAAGGGCAGGACAGCUCCUGGCAAUAGCACAUGCAAAGGCCCUGGGGUGAGAGCGCUAGGCAGGUCCAGGGUCUGGAAGGGCUGGGUGGCCAGGGUGCUGGGGGCGAGGCGGCGUGUGGUGAGGGUGGGGGGCAGGCCCCAGGACUCAAAGGGCCUCGAGACCCAUGGGGUAUGGAUUUUAUCCCGGGAAGAAUGAAAGACCCUGAGGGUCUCUAGUCGGAAAGAAAGGGCAGGGAUUUCCCUUCUCUGGGAAGGUUAUGGGGUCACUGGAGGGAGGCAAGAAGAGGCUGGAAGAGAGGGGAGUAAGGCGGGGGGCUGCUGAAUUCAACCAGGAGAGACCCAGAGGCAGCCUGGAAAUAGUUAGGAGCCCAGAUACAUGUAACUGUGAUCUUCCGCCACCUCCUGAGGCAAAGCUCCCGUGCAGCUGAACCCAAAUCAAAGAUUCCUUCAUGCACUUACUGUUACAAUUCACAUAGUUACCAACUGAUUUCUGUGCUCUAUAAAUUGUAUGUGUGUGCAUCGGGGCGGGGGGCGGGGGGGGAUACCAGGAUUUCGCGAAGGGGGAAGCGCUGGAACAUAGCGGAAGCGCUGGAACAUAGCUGUCCCCCCACCCAAACUCUCCAAGUGAGCUUGCAGCCGAUGUAACGCGUCUCACCACAGAGGUGUCACCCCGUCCACACCUACUGGCUCCCGGUGGGCCAGACCCCGGGCUGAUCCACUUAGCCGCAGUGUGGACGGCAGCAUUCUAACCCAGAUUCCCAGUCCCGGUUACUCAAUCAGACAUGAUUCUAGGCACUGCUAAGACUCCUGCGAUGGGAUCAGGGUUAUAAUCAGCUGACUUGAGGCAGCGAGAUCAUUGGGAAUGAUCCAGAUUUGUCAUAGCAGGAGCCCUCACAGCAGAGGGGAGACGGGGGCUGGAGAGAGGGACAAGCGGGGAGGGACUCGGCCUGCCCUGCUGGCCUUGAGGGGGCCACACGCCGGGCAAUGCAGUGGCCUCUGAAAGCUGAGGACCACCCCCAACAGCCAUUAGGGAAGCAGGGACC
This 2625-nucleotide long non-coding RNA is filed under the name Sus scrofa (pig). RNAcentral's name for it is "lncRNA (ENSSSCG00005036607.1)". The record is from RNAcentral. Lineage: Eukaryota; Metazoa; Chordata; Mammalia; Artiodactyla; Suidae.